RNAcentral lists this ribosomal RNA (276 nucleotides) under uncultured bacterium. RNAcentral describes it as "partial 16S ribosomal RNA". It matches the Rfam family "Bacterial small subunit ribosomal RNA", at positions 9 to 265 of the family's 1533-position model. The record is from RNAcentral.
GAGUUUGAUCGUGGCUCAGGAUGAACGCUGGCGGCGUGCUUAACACAUGCAAGUCGAACGAAGCACUUUACUUGAUUUUCUUCGGAACUGAUUGUACUGUGACUGAGUGGCGGACGGGUGAGUAACGCGUGGAUAACCUGCCUCACACAGGGGGAUAACAGUUGGAAACGGCUGCUAAUACCGCAUAAGCGCACAGCACCGCAUGGUGCAGUGUGAAAAACUCUGGUGGUGUGAGAUGGAUCCGCGUCUGAUUAGGCAGUUGGCGGGGUAACGGCC